Oncorhynchus nerka (sockeye salmon) is the source of this 2228-nucleotide long non-coding RNA. RefSeq lists it as uncharacterized. The record is from RefSeq and is a predicted model, not a curated record. Lineage: Eukaryota; Metazoa; Chordata; Actinopteri; Salmoniformes; Salmonidae. The transcript has 6 exons.
UCUGAAUAAUCCCCAACUUGACUAUAUAUUUGUAUCUAAAUAUUUGCACAUUUCCCAACUUGACUAUUAUCCCCUCCAGUCCCCAAACUCCAAUAUUUUCGUUCAUUCUAAGAAAUGUGACACUAUCAUCCAAACCCCCAUGUAAAUGCAUCUUUAAACUGCAUUGACUCCUUGUCCAAGUCCUGAAUAAGGCCAUAUGAACCACAUUCAAAGCACUAAAUUACCUUUCCCCGAAGCUCCGAUCUGAUCUACCAGCACAAUAGUGGUCAACUGAAACCAUACUCACCAUCUCAGGGGGUGCUGAGAUCAUCAACCACUGACCUCCACACCAUCCUCAAAACCAGCAGUCCUCUAUUGGAGGCAGAUUGGUCAGUGCUCCUGUAUGGCACCAACAUUGUGGAUUUUCAUCCAAUACUUCUGGACUAUGAGAACAUUCUUUGGACAAUAAAAUUAGGCCCAAGACAUAAAGUCGCCUGAAAGCUGUGUAGCAAUCAUUCCAUUGCUGACCCAUAGGAUGGUAAUCAAAUACAUGAUUGGCUUAAUCUAGAAUCAUGGAUACCUUUCAUGUGAGUACUCACACACCAGAUUUGUUUUACAUUCCUCAGAAGGAAGAUACCUCAAUAUCUGGAAGCACUGUCUCAUGUACAAUUGUUAAUGCUAUCUCUGAAAUGUUCAGUCAGUGAGCAUUAUGGGUAAUUAUACUACAUACGUACAUCAAAUACUUUAUGAUAGCAUCAUCUCCUGUAGUAACAGGGCCAUUCCAAACACAAUAAAUGUGAAAAUGAUCAAAGAUACAAAAUAUUGCUAAAGUGAAGAAAAUCAGCUCAAAAUUAUAUGAGGAAAUGCCCCUGCAGCAGGGAGGCUUACGGUAUUAUAAUAUAUUGUAGAUAACAUUAAUAUAAUUUGUAUUUACAGUAUCAGUACACAUACAAAAGUAUAUGCUAGGGAUUGAUCUACACUGAGUGAACAAAACAUUAAGAACACCUUCCCAUUGAGUUUCCCCCCUUGGUGGUGGACCAUUGUUGAAAAACCCAACAACAUGGCAGUUCUUGACACAAACCGGUGCUUCUGGCACCUACUACCAUACUCUGUUCAAAGGGACUUAAAUCUUUGGUCUUGCCCAUUCACCCUCUGAAUGACACACAUACACAAUCCAUGUCUCAAUUGUCUACAAAUCAAUCUUUAACCUGUCUCCUCCCCUACAUCUACACUGAGAAGAAGAUUUAACAAUUAAUAUCAAUAAGGGAUAAUAGCUUUCACCUGAUUAGUCUAUGUCACAGAAAGAGAAGGUGUUCUUAAUAAUGUUUAAUACACUCAGUGUAUGUGUCAAUUAUGUUAUAGAUUCCAAGUGGUUGAGGAUUUUUUUAGGAAUGACUAUAUGCUCUAUAUUAUACCUGCAGAUCAUCACAGCAGCCAAAGUUGCUGUGUAGAGAGAGGAGAUCCUCCGAGCAUCAUGCCUCAUCCCUGCACAGAGGGAGGGGAUUCUCCCAGCAGCUAGCAUCACUGCACAGAGGGAGGGGAUCCUCCGAACAGCCAGUGUCCCUGUACAGAGGGAGGGGAUUCUCCCAGCAGCUAGCAUCACUGCACAGAGGGAGGGGAUCCUCCGAACAGCCAGUGUCCCUGUACAGAGAUGUCCGACUUAGAUAUGUUGAGCAUCCUGCUAUGAUGUCUAUCACGAAGCCGGAACACUCCGAGGCCAACCCUCAGUGCCAGACUGGCAGCCGGCCGGUGGCUGAGCCCGAGACCCCUGCUGUUCACAAUAACAGUGGAGGUUGGCUCAGCUGGGCCUUUGGGAGUGGAAGAGUUAAUAAGAAGGAGGUUAAUCUACCCGAGGACAAAGACAGAUCUAACAAGUGUGCACCACCACCUCCAUCGAUGGGGACAUAUGGAUAUCAGGGGAACAUUGGCAGUGUCCCCAAAGGAAUGAAUCCUUACUCUAUGAAAGCAGCAGGUCUAUGGGGCAGUGGAUACCCUACAAUGCAUUGCCAUGAUGGGACCAACUCAAAGCCUCCAAGCCGUGGGCCUGGACUGCUUCCUACAGCUCUCUGGCUUGCGCCCUCCUUCACACUUUGACCUCAUGGCACCAAUGGUUGUGCCACCUGCCACUCUACCCUACUGAGGAUUCGUGUGACACUUUGCCACCCAACAGGGAUCUAGACACCAAUGCACUACAUUACUUUGCACUGAAUUUGACAUUUUUAAAUAAAAUAAGUUGUAGUUCAAAAACA